Molecule: long non-coding RNA, 232 nt
Filed under: Solanum tuberosum (potato)
Lineage: Eukaryota; Viridiplantae; Streptophyta; Magnoliopsida; Solanales; Solanaceae
Description: long non-coding RNA (STUB_LNC011833)
Source: RNAcentral
AAAUUUGGUAUUAGAGAAAUUAUUGGAGAGAACAUCAGAAAGGAUAGGAAGGAAUUAAGACACAAAAAGAAAUAGUUUACAAAGAGAUUUUCUUGUGGUUAAUCGCUUUUACAGUCGAAAGACUCUCGAAAAAACUCUCUACUUCUAAAUUUUCGCAAAGCUCUUGGUUUGGGUUUUGUCUGGAGGGCUCAAAUCGAAACUCGUGUGGAGGAAGUCGCUGCCUCCUCUGCUC